GAUGAACGCUGGCGGCGUGCUUAACACAUGCAAGUCGAACGAAGCACUUUAUUUGAUUUCCUUCGGGACUGAUUAUUUUGUGACUGAGUGGCGGACGGGUGAGUAACGCGUGGGUAACCUGCCUUGUACAGGGGGAUAACAGUUGGAAACGGCUGCUAAUACCGCAUAAGCGCACAGCAUCGCAUGAUGCAGUUUGAAAAACUCCGGUGGUAUAAGAUGGACCCGCGUUGGAUUAGCUAGUUGGUGAGGUAACGGCACACCAAGGCGACGAUCCAUAGCCGACAUGAGAGGGUGACCGGCCACAUUGGGACUGAGACACGGCCCAAACUCCUACGGGAGGCAGCAGUGGGGAAUAUUGCACAAUGGGCGAAAGCCUGAUGCAGCGACGCCGCGUGAGCGAAGAAGUAUUUCGGUAUGUAAAGCUCUAUCAGAAGGGAAGAUAAUGACGGUACCUGACUAAGAAGCACCGGCUAAAUACGUG
Molecule: ribosomal RNA, 481 nt
Filed under: uncultured bacterium
Lineage: Bacteria
Description: partial 16S ribosomal RNA
Rfam family: Bacterial small subunit ribosomal RNA
Source: RNAcentral